Canis lupus familiaris (dog) is the source of this 675-nucleotide long non-coding RNA. RefSeq lists it as uncharacterized. NCBI's taxonomy places the organism in Eukaryota, Metazoa, Chordata, Mammalia, Carnivora, Canidae. The record is from RefSeq and is a predicted model, not a curated record. The transcript has 4 exons.
UGUAGACUUGCACAUGUGUAAUUAUUUAAGUUUUUUCUGUACUUCUUCAAUUUUAAGACAUACCCUACCCCAAUAUUUUUAGCAUUUUAAAAUGCAUGAUGUGUCUUCUAACUGAAAAGAAUCAUUUUAUGUGAUUGUUUUUUUUUGUUUUUUGAUCAUGGAGAAAUUAUUGAGAUGAUAGUAUCCCUUAUGACUGAGGACAUCUUGCAAUUUGCUUGGAAUCCCCUUGGGAAUGUGAUUAGGUUAAAUGUCACAAAUUUUAAAAUGUUAAAAAUGGAACCAGUAAUGAAUUACAACAUUAUUGGCCUCAGUGACAGAUACCACAUAUCAAUCAAAAUGAACUAUGGGAAGCUGUGUUCGUCUGGUGGCACUGCUUAACAGAGGCAGAGUUUUUCAAGCCCUUUAGUACGUGGUGGAGGUAUGCGGGAGAGGUUGCAGCUGGGCUCAUAAACGCUGCCCUCCGGAGUGCGCGCUGCAGGUUUAGGUGUGCUGAUCGAUCUCCUAUCUGGAGUCCACGGCCUCUGUACCCGUCCAGCACGUUCUUUCUGCCCUCUUCGACUGUUUUCUCGCCCCUUACCCAAAUGAACGCAGAAUGCCAUUCAGCAGACAGUGCUCGGUGUCACAGGGCCGACCCCAAUCUGCCUCAGAAGAUAUACCAUCCAGGUAAUCCGGCUC